ACGACAAGUAGGGUCCUUUUGCGUCACCAUCGCAGGAUGUUCGACUUGUUGU
Molecule: microRNA precursor, 52 nt
Filed under: Ciona intestinalis (vase tunicate)
Lineage: Eukaryota; Metazoa; Chordata; Ascidiacea; Phlebobranchia; Cionidae
Description: microRNA cin-mir-4073 precursor
Source: miRBase by way of RNAcentral